GCGAACGGACGAGAAGCUUGCUUCUCUGAUGUUAGCGGCGGACGGGUGAGUAACACGUGGAUAACCUACCUAUAAGACUGGGAUAACUUCGGGAAACCGGAGCUAAUACCGGAUAAUAUUUUGAACCGCAUGGUUCAAAAGUGAAAGACGGUCUUGCUGUCACUUAUAGAUGGAUCCGCGCUGCAUUAGCUAGUUGGUAAGGUAACGGCUUACCAAGGCAACGAUGCAUAGCCGACCUGAGAGGGUGAUCGGCCACACUGGAACUGAGACACGGUCCAGACUCCUACGGGAGGCAGCAGUAGGGAAUCUUCCGCAAUGGGCGAAAGCCUGACGGAGCAACGCCGCGUGAGUGAUGAAGGUCUUCGGAUCGUAAAACUCUGUUAUUAGGGAAGAACAUAUGUGUAAGUAACUGUGCACAUCUUGACGGUACCUAAUCAGAAAGCCACGGCUAACUACGUGCCAGCAGCCGCGGUAAUACGUAGGUGGCAAGCGUUAUCCGGAAUUAUUGGGCGUAAAGCGCGCGUAGGCGGUUUUUUAAGUCUGAUGUGAAAGCCCACGGCUCAACCGUGGAGGGUCAUUGGAAACUGGAAAACUUGAGUGCAGAAGAGGAAAGUGGAAUUCCAUGUGUAGCGGUGAAAUGCGCAGAGAUAUGGAGGAACACCAGUGGCGAAGGCGACUUUCUGGUCUGUAACUGACGCUGAUGUGCGAAAGC
RNAcentral lists this ribosomal RNA (712 nucleotides) under Staphylococcus aureus. RNAcentral's name for it is "bacterial SSU rRNA". It matches the Rfam family "Bacterial small subunit ribosomal RNA", at positions 66 to 760 of the family's 1533-position model. The record is from RNAcentral. Lineage: Bacteria; Bacillati; Bacillota; Bacilli; Caryophanales; Staphylococcaceae.